UACAGAGGGUGCAAGCGUUAAUCGGAAUUACUGGGCGUAAAGCGUGCGCAGACGGUUGCGUAAGUCAGAUGUGAAAGCCCCGGGCUCAACCUGGGAAUUGCAUUUGAGACUGCGUAGCUAGGGUGCGGAAGAGGGAAGCGGAAUUUCCGGUGUAGCGGUGAAAUGCGUAGAUAUCUGGAGGAACACCGGUGGCGAAGGCGGCAUCCUGGACCGGCAUUGACGCUGAGGCGCGAAAGCCAGGGGAGCAAACGGG
This 253-nucleotide ribosomal RNA is filed under the name uncultured bacterium. RNAcentral describes it as "partial 16S ribosomal RNA". It matches the Rfam family "Bacterial small subunit ribosomal RNA", at positions 524 to 776 of the family's 1533-position model. The record is from RNAcentral.